GGGCGGUCAGUUUAAGUGGUUGAAAUGCUGCCGAGGUGCACCAAGGCAGAGAGGCGAGUUCGAAUCCCGCACCGCUCA
Molecule: transfer RNA, 78 nt
Filed under: Bacteroides sp.
Lineage: Bacteria; Pseudomonadati; Bacteroidota; Bacteroidia; Bacteroidales; Bacteroidaceae
Also listed under: 1 other name
Description: tRNA-OTHER
Source: RNAcentral